Molecule: long non-coding RNA, 1240 nt
Filed under: Scleropages formosus (Asian bonytongue)
Lineage: Eukaryota; Metazoa; Chordata; Actinopteri; Osteoglossiformes; Osteoglossidae
Description: lncRNA (ENSSFOG00015030513.1)
Source: RNAcentral
UUGCUACAAACACAGACCAGAGGACCUGAGUGUACUGGACAUCAAAUGAACAUCUGAUUAGCAUAAAGAUGUGCUUUUUUUCUGGGUCUUGCAUCACAUUUCUCAGUGUGUGUUGAACAGACUGUCAUGUUUUUGCUUGGCACUCUUUCAUCUUUCUUUCCCACAAAGACAGCUGGUAGUGUAGUGGUUAGAGUUACUUCAGUUUGGACACCGAGGUCACUGGUUUGAGUCUCACCUCCAGCUGUAGUACCCUUGAGCAAGAUAUUUACCCUAAAAAAUAGUGGGUGGCACAGUGAGUAGCACUGCUGUCUCACAGCACCUGGGUGGUGCAAGAGGACAGGGGUUCAAUCCCUGCUCAGUGUGUGUGGAGUUUGCAUGUUUUCUCUGUGUCUGCCUGAUUUCCUCCCCUAGUCCAAAGACAUGCUGUUCAGGUUCACCCAGUGUUCCACUGAUGUAUGGAUGAGUGACCCAAUGUAAGCAGUGUAAGUCACUGCGGUGAAUAAGAUGUGUGGGCUGAUAACACUACAUAGAGUUCAUUGGAAGUUGCUUUGGAGAAAAAUGGCUGCUAAAUAAAUGAAUGUAAUGCUCCACUAAAAUUGCCCAGAUGGAUAAAUACCUUAACAUUUUAAGUACCUUGGAGGAAAAGUAUCAGCUAAAUGAGUAAAUGUAACUUUAUACUGCCAUAUACUUACAUUUUUUCACCCACUUAUACAACUGGGCAAUUUCAGGUAGGUACCUUGCUUAAGGGUACUACAGCCUGAGAUGAGAUUCAAACCCAUGACCUUUUGGGUUCAAAAGCAGCACCUCUAACCACUACACUACCAGCUACCUGCAUUUCAUUCUUCUCCAGUGACUGAAUACAUCCCAAGCCUCCUGGCAGCCUCAGAUUUCUUCUGCCAUUUGCGCUGAGGGAAGGGGUAGUGCUGCGAGCUGGACGACAUCCCUUGUGACUGGUUCCCUGAUAAACUCAACUGUCUCAGCCGUCUGGACAAGGGGGUUGGACCGAUCAGCUUCCAGCAGUCUGCGUCGGCACUUCUUCGUUCACUCAGCGUUUCACCGGACUUCUCCGCACGAGUGGCUUCUUCGUAGGCCUUGUUGCGCUCCACGCAUAUGAGCGUCUGUGCGGAUUCCUGGCCGCCCACUCUUCCUGCAGGAGCUUUUUCGCCUCCCCUUUGCACGCUGGAGCUCAUCCGAUGCAUCCCCAGCCCACGGUGACCGCAGAUCAACUGACCGGCGAGAC